GUUCAAACUGAUUCCUGGUGUAAAGUCCACGUAGUAUUCCAUCUUUAAUUCCCAGUUCAAUGAAUUGGUGCAUGCUCCAGUGGCAAAUAUUUCAUGCAUAUUCAAUAGGCCUAUGAGGCAACUUAAUGGUAAAAGAAGUUGUUAACUCAAUUUUUAUGUGAUUAUGACUGUCCUUGUUUUUAGGGAGCUACCAUUUGAUUUUUAUGGGGGGCUAGGAUGAAAUUUGAAAAAAAUAGGCAGGACAGGAGUUUUGAGUAAAAAAAAAAAGGCAGGAUGAGACAUUUGCAAAAAAAAAAGUCGGGACGGCAAUUUAGUAAAAAAAAAGUCAGGAUAAACUAAAAAAAAAAGGCAGGACCGAACAGAGUGAAAAAUAAAAAGGCAGGACAGAUAUUACAGCUAAAAAAAAAUGCAGGACAAAAUUUUUCACAAAAAACUUACAACUAAGAUUGAUCGUAAGUCAUGAACAAUCCAGUAUACUUACGAUCAAUCUUAUUAAUAAGUUUUUUUUGUGAAACCGACUCCUGGCUCCUAAGAAGUCUACAGAUUUAACGCUUGAUUUGAAAACUUUUAAAUAAGUUAUAGCUCAACAGAAGAAAUGCACCUAUUUUUGCAUAUGAUAAUAAUCCGAGGAAUGUCCUUUUAUUCCAAUCUUAAUUUUGUUCAAAAUAGUUUCAUAUUUUUCUCUGUUCCAUAUAACACUUUUCUGAUUAGAAUUAGCAUUUUCAAUUAGUUGGUUUGUAAGUCUUUGUUCUGGUGUAAGAACAACAUGCCCUUCUGCCAUAAUGAAAGUAGAUCAUUAGUAAAAUACAGAGUGACUACUAACUCAUAGUUGUUGCUCGUUGGAGUUUCUAAUUAUAGACAUUAAAACUAGUAAAACAUGAAAACUUAACCUGCAGGCUACAUUUUUAAAGAAUAAUCUUAAAUUCAUUUUACUCAACC
Molecule: long non-coding RNA, 939 nt
Filed under: Mytilus galloprovincialis (Mediterranean mussel)
Lineage: Eukaryota; Metazoa; Mollusca; Bivalvia; Mytilida; Mytilidae
Source: RNAcentral